This 690-nucleotide ribosomal RNA is filed under the name uncultured bacterium. RNAcentral describes it as "bacterial SSU rRNA". It matches the Rfam family "Bacterial small subunit ribosomal RNA", at positions 94 to 803 of the family's 1533-position model. The record is from RNAcentral.
AGUGGCGCACGGGUGCGUAACGCGUAUGCAUCUACCUUUUACUAGAGUAUAGCCCAGAGAAAUUUGGAUUAAUCCUCUAUAAUGUUUCAUGACUAAAGUUUUAACGGUAAAAGAUGAGCAUGCGUCCUAUUAGUUUGUAGGUGAGGUAACGGCUCACCUAGACUACGAUAGGUAGGGGCCCUGAGAGGGGGAUCCCCCACACUGGUACUGAGACACGGACCAGACUCCUACGGGAGGCAGCAGUAAGGAAUAUUGGACAAUGGACGAAAGUCUGAUCCAGCCAUGCCGCGUGCAGGAUGAAAGCCUAUGGGUUGUAAACUGCUUUUAUACAGGAAGAAACACUCGUACGUGUACGAGCUUGACGGUACUGUAAGAAUAAGGACCGGCUAACUCCGUGCCAGCAGCCGCGGUAAUACGGAGGGUCCGAGCGUUAUCCGGAAUCAUUGGGUUUAAAGGGUCCGCAGGCGGUCUUUUAAGUCAGAGGUGAAAGCCUACAGCUCAACUGUAGAACGGCCUUUGAUACUGAAAGACUUGAGUUAUUAUGAAGUGGUUAGAAUGUGUGGUGUAGCGGUGAAAUGCAUAGAUAUCACACAGAUACCCGAUUGCGAAGGCAGAUCACUUAUAAUAUACUGACGCUGAUGGACGAAGCAUGAGGAGCGACAGGAUUAGAUACCUUGGAGUCCACGCCCA